This 771-nucleotide unclassified non-coding RNA is filed under the name Hevea brasiliensis (rubber tree). The record is from RNAcentral. Lineage: Eukaryota; Viridiplantae; Streptophyta; Magnoliopsida; Malpighiales; Euphorbiaceae.
CUUUUUUCAGUUACAUUAUUUUCUACCUCAUGAAUCAUGUAUUCAGUUGAUAUAGUUAUUUGUUGAUGUUGCUAAGGGAAUAUUUCCACCUUUUAUACAUCAAAAGAAUUUUGUAGAUACAUACUUUGAGCAUAUCUUGUAUAUAUUCAUCAAUUAAAUUGGUUUCUUAGGGCCCUAAUUGACUUUAGUGUGCUUCCAGGUUCCAGCUUUUGUUUAAACUGGAACAUAUCUAUAUAAUUUUUAAUAUGUUACCUUUGCUUAUUUCUCUGGAGCACCUCAUCAAUUUUUUUUCACUGUGUUGCAAGAUUUUUAAUAUUUGUAUGCUAGAUAAUGGAUAUUUCAUUUGUAACAGGCAUGCAAUAGUCUAUGCAUGAAGUUUACCUGCUGAAUCGACCCUUUUUCAGUGUAUUUCUUAUUUCAAAUAACCUUUUGCUAUGCUUUCUUCAAAGUGAUGAACUUUUCAUUUUUAACAAUAGCCUCCUAUUUUAUAACUUGUAUCACUUUUCUCUCUUUAUUUACUUAAAGCAAAGCUGGUUAUACGCUAUUAGUUGUGGGAAGAAGAAGAUAAUUUGGAAACUGAAAGCUUUGAACUCAUGUUCACGAGUAAUAGGUUGACGGAAAAUUUUGUUGGGUUAACCAUUUUGUGGAAUAAAAUAACAUUGGAAUUAUGACCUAUAGAUAUACAUACCAUUAUAUGCAACUCAUGAUAAAAUUUUCCAUGUGACAUCAUAAAUAGGCUUUAUUUUCCUCUGCAAGCCAUGAAGACCUUGG